GUGAACGCUGGCGGUAGGCCUAACACAUGCAAGUCGAACGGCAGCACAGUAAGAGCUUGCUCUUAUGGGUGGCGAGUGGCGGACGGGUGAGGAAUACAUCGGAAUCUACUCUGUCGUGGGGGAUAACGUAGGGGAACUUACGCUAAUACCGCAUACGACCUACGGGUGAAAGCAGGGGAUCUUCGGACCUUGCGCGAUUGAAUGAGCCGAUGUCGGAUUAGCUAGUUGGCGGGGUAAAGGCCCACCAAGGCGACGAUCCGUAGCUGGUCUGAGAGGAUGAUCAGCCACAUUGGAACUGAGACACGGUCCAGACUCCUACGGGAGGCAGCAGUGGGGAAUAUUGGACAAUGGGCGCAAGCCUGAUCCAGCCAUACCGCGUGGGUGAAGAAGGCCUUCGGGUUGUAAAGCCCUUUUGUUGGGAAAGAAAUCCAGCCGGUUAAUACCUGGUUGGGAUGACGGUACCCAAAGAAUAAGCACCGGCUAACUUCGUGCCAGCGGCCGCGGUAAUACGAAGGGUGCAAGCGUUACUCGGAAUUACUGGGCGUAAAGCGUGCGUAGGUGCUCGUUUAAGUCCGUUGUGAAAGCCCUGGGCUCAACCUGGGAACUGCAGUGGAUACUGGGCGACUAGAGUGUGGUAGAGGGGUAGCGGAAUUCCUGGUG
RNAcentral lists this ribosomal RNA (660 nucleotides) under uncultured bacterium. RNAcentral describes it as "bacterial SSU rRNA". It matches the Rfam family "Bacterial small subunit ribosomal RNA", at positions 29 to 675 of the family's 1533-position model. The record is from RNAcentral.